Otolemur garnettii (small-eared galago) is the source of this 70-nucleotide small nucleolar RNA. The record is from Ensembl. NCBI's taxonomy places the organism in Eukaryota, Metazoa, Chordata, Mammalia, Primates, Galagidae.
UGGCGAGAUGAUGGCAGUCAUCUUUCGAGUCUGACCUGAAAUGAAGAGAAUACUCAUUGCUUGAUUAUUU